GACGAACGCUGGCGGCGUGCUUAACACAUGCAAGUCGAACGGAAAGGCCCCUUUGGGGGUACUCGAGUGGCGAACGGGUGAGUAACACGUGAGUAACCUGCCCUUGACUUCUGGAUAACUUCAGGAAACUGGGGCUAAUACCGGAUAGGAAUCCUUGCUGCAUGGUGGGGGUUGGAAAGCUUCGGCGGUGUUGGAUGGACUCGCGGCUUAUCAGCUUGUUGGUGGGGUAGUGGCUUACCAAGGCUUUGACGGGUAGCCGGCCUGAGGGGGCGACCGGCCACAUUGGGACUGAGAUACGGCCCAGACUCCUACGGGAGGCAGCAGUGGGGAAUAUUGCACAAUGGGCGGAAGCCUGAUGCAGCAACGCCGCGUGCGGGAUGACGGCCUUCGGGUUGUAAACCGCUUUCAGCAGGGGCGAAGCUUGUGGUGACGGUACCUGCAGAAGAAGCACCGGCUAACUACGUG
Molecule: ribosomal RNA, 465 nt
Filed under: uncultured bacterium
Lineage: Bacteria
Description: partial 16S ribosomal RNA
Rfam family: Bacterial small subunit ribosomal RNA
Source: RNAcentral